GGGUCCUUGUGCAUUCUGACAUGUGCAUUCAGCCGAUCAUUCAAGUAGGAUUAAGGAAAUGCGUUUUUAAAACUCAAGCAGACUGGAUAUUUGUCUUUUAUCCUGUCAGAGUAAUCCAUG
This 120-nucleotide small nucleolar RNA is filed under the name Erinaceus europaeus (western European hedgehog). RNAcentral's name for it is "Small nucleolar RNA SNORA27 (ENSEEUG00000023403.1)". Lineage: Eukaryota; Metazoa; Chordata; Mammalia; Eulipotyphla; Erinaceidae. The record is from RNAcentral.